AACACCUUGGACUACGGUCUUGCCAUAGAUCACCUGAAACAGCUACGUAAAUUGUGAAAGUUAGUGUAUUUAAACCGAGUUUAUGGGAAAUUUGACAAAGAAAAACAGAGAUAGGAGAGCUGUAUAACCUAUUGCUUACAAUUGAUUUCCAAAUGUAUCUCUGAUGAAAAGAUAAGCUUAGGAUCCGCGAGGCUCCCGUGUGUUGGCGAGUGUGGUGUGAUAACAUUACUUGUUGUGAGAGUCUCCUUAACCCCGGCAGAGCUGAAAUGGAAGUGCGUCUGACCAGUCCCACUAGGGAGAAGCCAGAGAAGUAUCAGCGAAGGAUUAUGGGAGAUAUAGUCCAGAGCCAAAUGCAGGAACACUACAAAAAUGAACUGGUCAGAGCUGCACAGAGCGAUCCUGUUUUCCAGAAACCUACAGUGGUGCGGUCCAAUGAGGUGGAGGAGAGGGAGCGCUACAGAUUCCAGUGGAGGAAGGAGGACAGGCAAAGAAUCGUCGGUGACAGAUUGGAGCUCUUCGUCGCCAUAGUGACGGGGUUGUUGAUGGGGGUCCUGACAGGUGGUUUUGGGGGUGUUGUCAUGGGAGGGUUGACGGGGGCGGUGAUAUGGUUUACAACAGGACUGGUCAGGAACUGGUGGAGCCCCUGAUUCACUGGGAGGCACCAUGUGUAGGCUAUGAAUCUAUUUUUUAUAAAGACAUUGGGAGGAUAAAACUAUUCUAAUGUGUAUAGAUGGAAGGACUUUGGUGAUGGAUCAUGUUCCUUGAUGCAAUUAUCAAACUUUGGUUAUUCAAUAUUUGGAAAUUAAUAAAAGCCCAAUAAAUAAAUAAAAUAUACAGAGCUUAUAUUAAUUAUUUUAAAAGAUAGAUGAAACCCUAAUAUUCAUCAGCAGUGCUAGCCUACUUCUGUUAAGUCAGUCCUGAUAUGGGUCUGAACCUGUUAGUCAUCAAGGGAUUAAAAGAGAGAUUCAUCCAGCAAUAUCUUUCCCUGAUUUCAUCUGACCAAGUAUUCAGAAAUUGUCUGACGAGAGUUACAGGCCAGGCCACUGAAAGAAAGGCCUUCAUCCUACCCUGUACAAUCCUUAAAAAUAACAGUAACAAGAACUAAUGACUAGAUCACCAGAUACACAUGAUCAGAUAAUCAUUUAUGUGAACAAACAUAGUGAGCCCACUAGAACCCAGGUCCAGUGGCUAUCAACCCAUCACGGCCCGUAUCCACAAAGCAUCUCAGAGUAGGAGUACUGGUCUAGGAUCUGUCCAUAUAAUCUUAUUCAUUAUGAUCUAAAAGUCUAAACUGAUAUUAGGUCAGCACUCCUACGGGCCCUGGUCACUACUAAUCUCAACGAUGUUGUUAUUGUUGUCGGCGCAAUCUGUCAUGGAAUCAGUAAACCCUGCUCUCAUAUCUGUCAUGGAAUCAGUAAACCCUGCUCUCAUAUCUGUCAUGGAAUCAGUAAACCCUGCUCUCAUAUCUGUCAUGGAAUCAGUAAACCCUGCUCUCAUAUCUGUCAUGGAAUCAGUAAACCCUGCUCUCAUAUCUGUCAUGGAAUAAGUAAACACUGCUCUCAUAUAUGUCAUGGAAUCAGUAAACUCUGCCAAAAUACCAGCAACAGUGUGUGAAAACCUU
Long non-coding RNA from Coregonus clupeaformis (lake whitefish), 1621 nucleotides. RefSeq lists it as uncharacterized. Lineage: Eukaryota; Metazoa; Chordata; Actinopteri; Salmoniformes; Salmonidae. The record is from RefSeq and is a predicted model, not a curated record. The transcript has 4 exons.